UUGGAGGGCAGUCUGGUGCAGCAGCGCGGUAAUUCCAGCUCCAAUAGCGUAUAUUAAAGUUGUUGCAGUUAAAAAGCUCGUAGUUGAAUUUCGGGAUUCAUCCGUUGGUCGGGCUUCACGGUCCGCACUGGUGUGAUGGGUUCCUACCUUCUGAAUAACCGGCAUGCCAUUAAUUUGGUGCGCCGGGGAAGCAGAACUAUUACCUUGAAAAAAUUAGAGUGCUUAAAGCAGGCAAGUGCCUGAAUAGGUUAGCAUGGAAUAAUAAAAUAGGACGGCAUGGUUCUAUUUUGUUGGUUUCUAGGAUCACCGUAAUGAUUAAUAGGGAUAGUUGGGGGCAUUAGUAUUCAAUUGUCAGAGGUGAAAUUCUUGGAUUUAUUGAAGACUAACUUCUGCGAAAGCAUUUGCCAAGGAUGUUUUCAUUAAUCAAGAACGAAAGUUAGGGGAUCGAAGACGAUCAGAUACCGUCGUAGUCUUAACCAUAAACUAUGCCGACUAGGGAUCGGACGAUGUUAAUUUUUUAAUGACUCGUUCGGCGCCUUACGGGAAAC
This 548-nucleotide ribosomal RNA is filed under the name uncultured Glomeromycotina. Its description in RNAcentral is "SSU rRNA". It matches the Rfam family "Eukaryotic small subunit ribosomal RNA", at positions 548 to 1098 of the family's 1831-position model. The record is from RNAcentral. Lineage: Eukaryota; Fungi; Glomeromycota.